Molecule: ribosomal RNA, 470 nt
Filed under: uncultured bacterium
Lineage: Bacteria
Description: bacterial SSU rRNA
Rfam family: Bacterial small subunit ribosomal RNA
Source: RNAcentral
CUCCUACGGGGAGGCAGCAGUGGGGGAAUAUUGCACAAUGGGCGCAAGCCUGAUGCAGCCAUGCCGCGUGUGUGAAGAAGGCCUUCGGGUUGUAAAGCACUUUCAGCAGUGAGGAAGGCGGAGUCGUUAAUAGCGGCCUCGUUUGACGUUAGCUGCAGAAGAAGCACCGGCUAACUCCGUGCCAGCAGCCGCGGUAAUACGGAGGGUGCGAGCGUUAAUCGGAAUUACUGGGCGUAAAGCGCAUGCAGGUGGUUUGUUAAGUCAGAUGUGAAAGCCCGGGGCUCAACCUCGGAAUAGCAUUUGAAACUAGGCAGACUAGAGUACUGUAGAAGGGGGUAGGAAUUUCAGGUGUAGCGGUGAAAUGCGUAGAGAUCUGAAGGAAUACCGGUGGCGAAGGCGGCCCCCUCGGACAGAUACUGACACUCAGAUGCGAAAGCGUGGGGAGCAAACAGGAUUAGAUACCCUGGUAG